Molecule: ribosomal RNA, 38 nt
Filed under: Pistacia weinmaniifolia
Lineage: Eukaryota; Viridiplantae; Streptophyta; Magnoliopsida; Sapindales; Anacardiaceae
Description: partial 5.8S ribosomal RNA
Source: RNAcentral
GCCUUUAGGCCGAGGGCACGUCUGCCUGGGUGUCACGC